UAAUAUAGACCAUGUCAUAAUUUUAAAAUAAAAUUUUCUUUUAGCUCAGAUUUGUGGUCACGAAACCACUGUUCCAAUUUCACUGAAAAUAGGCUGUUACAAAUGAAGUGCGAUUCUAAUGGAGGAGGAGCAUGCACAGAAUAUCAACCCUUCAACCCUAGCAUCCAGGAGGAACAAGUCCAAUAUAUGGGUAACAAUAACUCUAGAUCCCAAAAUAACCCAUGUAAUGCCCAAUUUUAGCCCGAACCCAACACUAAAAAUAAACAAUUUAAAAACACAAAAAGAUGAAGAAGAAAACCAAAAAGAUGUCCACAGUCCAGGUCUUUAGUACAAAACAGCCCAAAUACACUAUACAAGCCCAACAUUCAAGACCCUUUUUACAAAUAAUAAAAAACAGCCCAAAACAUUUACAUUAACCCUAACCCAAUACCCCAUGGCCCAAAAUAGAAGCAUAGCCAGGAACCCUAGCAGCUUCUACUUGCGCCGCAACGACCCCAGCCCUAGCGCCACCUCCGUACGGCCUCCACGUCUUCGUACCAGCAUACCACGCUUACAGACGGCCUUGUACCUGCAAAAGGACAAAAGAAAAGCAGAAUAAAUGGUAGCAAAAAAGGACAAAAAUGAAUAUUGUAUUUUUCUUUUCGUUUCGGUUAUAAAAAGAGAAAUCAAAAAAUUGUAAAAGGGGGACUUCCUCUAAAAAAAGGGAUAAAGAUACAAAAAAUAUAUACAGAGACGAUUAGCCAAAGAAACAUUGUUAAAGGUGUUCCAUUUUUUGCUCAUUUGCUAUUUUUAUUUAUUUAUUUUUGAAUCUAUUGCAUAAAUACGUAAAAUGGGAGGAUUUCUACCUUGGUUUUGGUGUUGCUAAUCGUUUACUUCUCCGGUUCGAAGGUGAACGGAUCCUUGCGGAUUCGGUUAGAGCCUCGGUGGUGGUGGAGGCGUAUUACGCGCCGGUGAAACCCAACAGUCGACUGAGAAUGCGGAGGGGUUGAAGAGUUUAAAGAAAAAUGGGGGUUUUGAAAUCUGUUUUGGAAGAACAAUCAGCCAAAUGAAUGUUUUAGGGCAAAGUUUUAGUUUACAUACAUAUUCAAAAUGGCGUCGUUUUAUGCCUGGAGUGUUGGCAUUGAAACGGCAUCGUUUCAUGAAAAAACCCGAUGACCCGCCCAUGUACGAUCAGACCCACGUGUUUUGGUUAUUAAGGGUUAUUUCACAAAUGGUCCUUCCUCUUUUGCGCUAACAUUUGAUUAAGUCUUAUUCACAUUUCUAUGUUUUAAAUUUGCCCAUGUAAUUUGCAUUUUGUUUCAAAUAAAUCCGUGUUUAAACACUGCGCUUUAGGAUUUGGGACAUUUUCAUUUUUAAUCCUCGUUUGUUCGAGCGCGUUAAGCUUUAGUCCUUCUUCUAAUUGCAGUAGCUUAUUUUAUUUAUUAAUUAUCUUUUUAGUUUAAUCUUAUUUUAAUUGAGUCCUUUUGAUUUGUAUAAUUCAUUUUUUAUUCUUUUUUAUUUAUUCAAUACUUAUUUUAUAUAUGAAUGUAUAUAUAUUUGAGUUAUUAAGAUAUUCUUUAGUUUUGUAUAUUGUAUGGUUUUAAAGAUUUUGUAUAAUAUAUCUUCCAAGUUUUCUU
RNAcentral lists this long non-coding RNA (1616 nucleotides) under Gossypium barbadense (sea-island cotton). RNAcentral describes it as "long non-coding RNA (GBAR_LNC007019)". The record is from RNAcentral. Lineage: Eukaryota; Viridiplantae; Streptophyta; Magnoliopsida; Malvales; Malvaceae.